RNAcentral lists this transfer RNA (69 nucleotides) under Onychomys leucogaster (northern grasshopper mouse). RNAcentral describes it as "tRNA-Ala". It matches the Rfam family "tRNA". Rfam says of the family: Transfer RNA (tRNA) molecules are approximately 80 nucleotides in length. Their secondary structure includes four short double-helical elements and three loops (D, anti-codon, and T loops). The record is from RNAcentral. Lineage: Eukaryota; Metazoa; Chordata; Mammalia; Rodentia; Cricetidae.
AAGGAUUUAGCUUAAUAAAAGCGAAUGGUUUGCAUUCAUUAGAUGUAGGAUAGAGUCUUACAAUCCUUA